UACGUAGGGUGCAAGCGUCGUUCGGAUUUACUGGGCGUAAAGGGUGCGUAGGCGGUUGGGUAAGUCUGACGUGAAAUCUCCGGGCCUAACCCGGAAACUGCGUUGGAUACUACCUGGCUAGAGGAAUGGAGGGGAGACUGGAAUACUUGGUGUAGCAGUGAAAUGCGUAGAUAUCAAGUGGAACACCAGUGGCGAAGGCGAGUCUCUGGACAUUUCCUGACGCUGAGGCACGAAAGCCAGGGGAGCAAACGGG
RNAcentral lists this ribosomal RNA (253 nucleotides) under uncultured bacterium. Its description in RNAcentral is "partial 16S ribosomal RNA". It matches the Rfam family "Bacterial small subunit ribosomal RNA", at positions 524 to 776 of the family's 1533-position model. The record is from RNAcentral.